UCAGAAUUUGGCGUAAACAAGAAAGCAUAAAUUCAUCCUGCCUUGUGGCAAUUCGGUUCAGGCUAGUGGUGGUCGUGCAAUGGCGUGGCCGGGAGGUAUUUGCGUUGCACUCUUUGGGACACUUAGUACCAAUUGAGCCUCGUUAAGCGCCAUAGCUUACCUGAGUAUUGUUGCUGACCAUGUCCGUCCCUUUACGACCACACUGUACCCAUCUUCCAAUGGUUAUAAGCUACCCCAGCAGGAUAACGCGCCGUGCCCUAAUGCCCAAAUCCUCUCAAACUGGUUUCUUGAACAUGACUAUGCGUAUACUGUACUCGCAUAACCCACAGUCUACACAUCUAACUACAUCUAAAUCCAAUAGAGCACAUUUGGGAUGUGGUGGAAUAGGAGUUUCGCAUCAUGGACGUGCAGCCGACAAAUCAGCAGCAACUGCAUGAUGCUAUCAUGUCAACAUGGACCAAAACAUCUAAGGAAUGUGUCCAGGCCCUUGUAGAACCUGUGUAGGCCUAUGCCACGAAGAAUUAAGGAAGGCAGUUUCGAAGGCAACACUGGAUCCAACCCGGCACCAACAAGGUGUACCUAUUAAAGUGGACGUGCCGAUGUCGUCUGGCUUUUCACCUCUCCCCAGGGAGAACAAAACCUAGCAACAAUUUUAUCAGUGAGCAGUAUGGAGGUGUUGCUGUACUUCUUGCUGGUCUCAGAGCCCAGCGUGACGAACCUGAGCAGGAACAGAGACAGACUGGAGCACCAGAUCACCAGCUCCCAGUUAUAGUGACACUCCAGGAACGUUUCAUGGAUGUGGAGCAACUGGAGGAAGAGAUGCAAGUACAUUAUUUGAAAUUACCUGGGCACAGCAGAUGAAGACGACAGACAGAGUGAGCAGGAAGGCAGACGACACGAUCACAUCCACUGAACGCUGAGGACCCCGUCUCUACAAAUGCAACAGUCCUCUCUGCGACACUGAGCAGGAAGAAAAAGAGCCAUAUAAGGCAGACCCGCACCAGGAAGCUAAGUGUUACCAUGGUGAUGACCAAGGCGUCUGAUCCAGACCCACCUCCCAGCGCCACAGACAGCAGUUCAUUGGCUGAGAGUGCGGUCAGCUGAUCAAAGUCACGGUACUGAGCCAGCCUGCAGGAGAUGGAGAAAGACUGGCGUUUUGGGGUCCUGGUGGAGACGAUCUGACAGUGGACGGUGCCCAGCAGCAACAUGAGCCAGAUGGCUCCAAACACCUCGGUGGUCGGUAUCCCAUGAGGCUGGGGGAUGGUCACAUACAGGACUGCUGCUGCCACUGCAGGGGAGAGACAAGCGAGCAUGCAUGGACAAAUGGCAUUCACCAAAUUAUUCUUCUGCCCUCUGGUGGUCAAAAUCAAAUACAGGGUUUGUGAGUGUUUUUAUGCUAUAUACGGGGGAAGUGAGCAGGAAGGGCGGAGGGUUUAAGAGCGAGAUGAAGAAUAAAAUAACAGUCUGGUUCUCGUCAGGGCUGAAAAGGGCAUCGUGACGUACGUGGUGGAAAACACUGUUGAGUGGUCUUGGAAGUGUUUGUGCAGCUCUGUAGGAGUAACGCGGGAGUACUCCAUGCUUUCAAGAUAAUUUUCUACACUGCAUGCACAUUUUUAGAUUAGAUCCAAGUAGCAGCUGUUGAACAUCUUGUGAACUUGGUUUUUGUUAGAAGAUUUAAACAUCCACUGAGGAAGGAUCAAUUCAGAUACCAGACCAAUCAGUAAAUGUUUACGCUGCUGCAACUCGCCUCUUAAAUCUACUGAACCUCAUUAAACACUAUUGAAACAAAGAAUUAUUCUCUCACACACACACACACACCUUGCAGCAAAUAGAGAACCAGCAGUAAGAGGAAAAUGGUUCUCGAGGUGACCUGGAUCCACCAUCGAUAAAAGAAUGGGAAGAAGACAACUCUGACGAUGCCUUUCCGGGUCAGUGACGUCCAGGGACUCUCUGGUUUGGCCUUGGCAAACGCCGAACCUGCGGAGGAAGAGAAUAAAUACACACACUUAGUUUAACAAGGAGAACCAAUUACUCAAUAGCUAUUACUUGACACUAUUAGAAUAUAACAGCAGUCGCAAAUAAAGGCUUUUAAACAAAAUAAAACUAACAGAAAAGGUUUCAGGAGUAAUGUGACCUGGAAUUGGGGAGAAUUUAACGACACUGGCAGCCAAGGUGACAUAUUUUACAGCCGUUAGCAAGCAUGUAGUUGGGACAAUGUUAACACCGCAGUGGCUUAACCCUUGUGUUGUCUUCCUGUCGACAACUUUUUGU
Molecule: long non-coding RNA, 2271 nt
Organism: Perca flavescens (yellow perch)
Lineage: Eukaryota; Metazoa; Chordata; Actinopteri; Perciformes; Percidae
Exons: 6
Source: RefSeq, a predicted model, not a curated record